CCUCUUGAGGUCCAGGUCUCUCCUGUGUGGUGGCUCACUGAGACAGCAGCACCGAGCAUAUUUGAAUGACUGUUGUGCUUGGUUCACUUCUCCUUUUGGUGGAGGUGACUGGGCAGUAGUGUCCUUGCUCUGUCCUAGUGGCCAGCAGCUGUGUGGAGGUAAAGACAUUGUAGAGGAGGGGUCUGGGCUAGGAAGGGCAUGCCCUAACCCUCCUCAUGUAUUGGCUUCUUUCUCAGCUCAGGGGCUAAACUGCUACAAUUGCACGAUGAUCCCAUUUGGUAAUACCUGCUCAUCAACUGCUACCUGCCCCUACCCUGAUGGAGUCUGCACUAUUCAGGUGGCAGAAGUUGUUGUGAGUAAGUUCCCCGUAUCCUGUAUUUAUAUGGGUGGGGGUGGCUUGGAAGAAAAAGUCUGGGUACAAGUUCUGGAGCAUGGUUCCCCUCCUUCCAGGUAGAUACCUUCCGAUUCCCUCUCCCCAGCAUGGAGAUUAUAACCAGCACCCCGUGCUCGGCUAGCUAUUUAUAUGGUUGCUGGGAAUUGAACUUGGGUCCUUAAUGCUUCCAUGUGGCAAGCACUUCACUGACUGAGCUGCUUCCACAGCACGUUGCAUGUAAAGACACAUGUGCACACACAUGUGGAUGUGCAGGCACUGGGGAGGUACAAGUGUAAGAGACCCAGAAGUUGAUGGGAAUCUCCUGUGACAACUAUUUUAUUUACUGAGGCAGGGUCUCAC
This 733-nucleotide long non-coding RNA is filed under the name Rattus norvegicus (Norway rat). RNAcentral's name for it is "long non-coding RNA NONRATT027022". The record is from RNAcentral. Lineage: Eukaryota; Metazoa; Chordata; Mammalia; Rodentia; Muridae.